Molecule: long non-coding RNA, 839 nt
Filed under: Numida meleagris (helmeted guineafowl)
Lineage: Eukaryota; Metazoa; Chordata; Aves; Galliformes; Numididae
Description: lncRNA (ENSNMEG00000022597.1)
Source: RNAcentral
CUGCAAUGUUUGUUUACUAAUUACUUUUCACAUUCGCUCAUCUAUUUCUACAUAGAAUUGUGCCUUCCACGGGAGAAAUCUGUUUUUCAGGAUCUGCUUACUUACUCAUCAGAUGUUAAGUACUAAACCUACAUUUAUUUAGUAAUCUUCAUUACAAUGCAAUUUUCAAUUACCAGAUAUUUUAUUUUCUGCUUAUCAGUUUAUAAGCUCAAAUGCAUAAAGGUUUGCUCUCUUGCCAUCUAAGAGGUAAAACAAAUAAGGGACAGAACUAGAAUAAGGAGCCUGAAGGCACUCUUCUGGCCUUUAUCACCGUUGUUGAGGAAGAAAGAUCAUCUCACAAAGACUCCAGAGAAAACCAAGUCCUCUACUGUGUCUAGUGGCCUGGCAACAGUAAGGAAACAGUUUGAGAAAGGGAAGAUGUCUUCUUCAAACAGGACCUUUGUUCAGUACCAGCGCCAGCAGAAAUCUGCACAGAGAUUCAGAACAGAGAAAAACUGCAAACUGCAUCUAUGAUAUCCCACAGUCUGCCUUUAUAGAAGAAGGGAUGAAAUAAUGGAUAUUCCUACGUUCCACUUGUUUUGGAGAAGCAAGCAUCGUUUUACCCUCUGUUAAUGAAAUUUCAAUCAGGAAUCACGACAGACACAGAAAACAUGAGAACCUCCAACCUCUCUUCCUCCCUUCGUACCCAGAACUAGGCCAUGUAAUUAUAUUGUCAAAAUCUGGCCCAUAAUGUUUAAGCAGCUAUGGCUGUCACAUUAAACUAUUAUAAUCUUUUUCAAUAUUGCAACUACUUCAUAAGCAGUACAAAAGUUAUAGCAAUAAAGCAGUACUGGUUUUCA